Molecule: ribosomal RNA, 331 nt
Filed under: uncultured bacterium
Lineage: Bacteria
Description: bacterial SSU rRNA
Rfam family: Bacterial small subunit ribosomal RNA
Source: RNAcentral
CACGUAGGCGGCGACGUAAGUUGGGUGUGAAAUCCCUCGGCCCAACCGAGGAACUGCGCCCAGUACUGCGUUGCUUGAGGAUCAAAGGGGUGCAUGGAAUUCCCGGUGGAGCGGUGAAAUGCGUUGAUAUCGGGAGGAACUCCGGCGGCGAAAGCGGUGCACUGGUUGAUUUCUGACGCUGAGGUGCGAAAGCCAGGGGAGCAAACGGGAUUAGAUACCCCGGUAGUCCUGGCCGUAAACGAUGGGUACUAGGUAGGGGGAAACCAAACGUCUCCCUGCUGGAGUGAAUAUAUUAAGUACCCCGCCUGGGGAGUAUGGUCGCAAGGCUGAA